CCUUGAGGUUGACCAGGUUCUUGAAGUAGUCAUUGUCGAAGGUGGUCGGAGUUUGGAGGUCCAGCGGUGCCAAGUUGCCGUCGCCUGAGCCGGAGGUGCUGGGACAGUUGGACUGCCUGGUUGUGGCAAGGGAGCUAUCGAUGUUGGUGUCGUUGUAGAUACGGGAUCUGAAGGAGAUGCAUCUGGCUUGGCCGAUGGUAUGCGCUCCUGUUACAAGGAGAAGAUAGAGUACUUGUAUCGGGACAAAGUAGCAGCCCAUCUAACUAAUGCCGUCUGAUUCUAAGAGGUUUUUGAGUUCUUGAACUCAUUUGCCACUUAAAAAUAUCUUUUACCGAUCGACAGUAGUGUUUCCCAUCACCAAUAGAAUCAAUCGGUCAGGAAUUUCUGGAACGUAUCGUAUGACAAUUUAUGGAAGUCGAAAUUGUUUUAGAAAGGAAUGCAUUGCCAGAGAGAAAGGCUGAUUCACAAUACCACUAAAUAUUGUCAUACGAUAUGUUUGGUACGGUGGUAACGAUGAAAACAGAGAGGAAUCGGUACCGGAGUUAAAGAGGGGAGUCAAACCUGCAAGUGCAACCAUGUCCUGUCUGGAAAGACCCUGCGCUGAGAACUUGGAGAUGAGAUUGCUAAGGCUGGAGGAUGGGGGUGGGAUGUUAUUGUUAGCCCCGGAGAGGCUUGCAGUCUUCGCGUCCCUUCUUCCCAGCUUCACAUCCCAAUUAGGCCCACCUAGCUGCAUUCACCGUCAAACAGACAUUUACCAUCCGAUUCUUAGUCUACGACAAGAAUAGAUCGAGGUGGCAAAAAAGAAAG
This 807-nucleotide long non-coding RNA is filed under the name Musa acuminata (dwarf banana). Its description in RNAcentral is "long non-coding RNA (MACU_LNC003106)". Lineage: Eukaryota; Viridiplantae; Streptophyta; Magnoliopsida; Zingiberales; Musaceae. The record is from RNAcentral.